UGGGGAAUCUUAGACAAUGGGCGCAAGCCUGAUCUAGCCAUGCCGCGUGGACGAUGAAGGCCUUAGGGUUGUAAAGUCCUUUCGCUGGGGAAGAUAAUGACGGUACCCAGUAAAGAAGCCCCGGCUAACUCCGUGCCAGCAGCCGCGGUAAUACGGAGGGGGCUAGCGUUGUUCGGAAUUACUGGGCGUAAAGCGCGCGUAGGCGGACCAGAAAGUCAGAGGUGAAAUCCCAGGGCUCAACCUUGGAACUGCCUUUGAAACUCCUGGUCUAGAGUUCGAGAGAGGUGAGUGGAAUUCCGAGUGUAGAGGUGAAAUUCGUAGAUAUUCGGAGGAACACCAGUGGCGAAGGCGGCUCACUGGCUCGAUACUGACGCUGAGGUGCGAAAGCGUGGGGAGCAA
Molecule: ribosomal RNA, 399 nt
Filed under: uncultured bacterium
Lineage: Bacteria
Description: bacterial SSU rRNA
Rfam family: Bacterial small subunit ribosomal RNA
Source: RNAcentral